Non-coding RNA from Dicentrarchus labrax (European seabass), 1158 nucleotides. The record is from the annotation of a RefSeq genome assembly. Lineage: Eukaryota; Metazoa; Chordata; Actinopteri; Moronidae.
UCUCAUUUAAUAAGCAUGACGGUUUCCUCAAGUAAGUGGAAACAGCUGAGGGUUGUAAAAUGUAAAGCUGAACAUCGCUGCUUCUCAUCCACUGAGGAGACCGUAAAUGUUUCAGAAAAUGUCAUUCGGACUCCAUUGGUUGAGAUCAAGAGAUCUCUCCCAGAUUUGCUGAAGGGAAACAGUGCUGUGCUGGAGUGUGACAUCACAGAACUCUCCUCCAGUGACCUCUAUAUCACCUUUCAGGCCGACGAUACUGACAUCUCUGAAAAAAUUGAUGUUGAUCUUCCUGAAACGCCAGGCCCCCAUUCAAUCAGUAGACGAUUCCUUGUCCCCCAAAACCACUGGAAUAAUGACACAAGUUUUUCCUGCAGAGUAAAUCAAGGCCUCAACAUGACUUUCAAGUCAAGAGCAACAGGCCAUAUUUUUGGGGACCCAUCAAUGGAGCUCCUUCUGCUCCCCAGUGAGGAGGAAGGACCACAGAGACUUGUAUGCUCUGGAUGGGGCUUCGACCCUCAAAUUAAAUGGUUUUCUGAGUCUCAGCAAAGAUCUUCUUCAACCGAUGAGAUCAGCAUGAAUGCAGAUGGUCGUGUGGCAGUAACCAGUCAACUUCAUAUCCCUCAAACAGAGUGGAAAACAGGACAGGUCUUCACUUGUGAAGUAUCUGACAAGUCUCUGAACAUAAAUGUCAGGUAAAAUUAAAACAUAAGGAGAGUAACAAUGUCAAGCCAUGUGCCUAAUGACAGUACUUUGUCCAUGUGACAAGUAUUACAGUGUAAACUGAGAGCUUCAUUAAUCAUUUUUUGUAAACUAAAGAGGGCAGAAGAAGCUCACAGACACACAGCCACCACCAUAUCACCUCCAGAUGAACAGAUUUGUUCAAUCUGUCCUGCACAAAAAAACAUAUAACUACUUACAUGUAAUGUUGGAAAUCAUACGUAUUCAAACACUUCAAAAGCAAGUUUUCCCACAAUUAGAGGGUGUAGAGAAAAUAUAUUUUAGAAUAACAUUGUCCACUGGUCCCCAACUGUGGUAGGUGUAGCAGAGAUAGUAUUUGAGCUCCCUCUAGUGGUACACAGAUGUAUCUCUAAACUUUUUCUUUUUUAGUGAAAUACAUUCAUUUAAAAACAUAAUACUAUCAAAAUAAUAAAAACCUUUGAA